Molecule: ribosomal RNA, 253 nt
Filed under: uncultured bacterium
Lineage: Bacteria
Description: partial 16S ribosomal RNA
Rfam family: Bacterial small subunit ribosomal RNA
Source: RNAcentral
UACGUAGGUGACAAGCGUUGUCCGGAUUUACUGGGCGUAAAGAGUGCGCAGGCGGUCGUUCAAGUCGAGUGUGAAAGCCCCCGGCUCAACUGGGGAGGGUCAUUCGAUACUGAUCGACUCGAAGGCAGGAGAGGGAAGUGGAAUUCCCGGUGUAGUGGUGAAAUGCGUAGAUAUCGGGAGGAACACCAGUGGCGAAGGCGACUUCCUGGCCUGUUCUUGACGCUGAGGCGCGAAAGCUAGGGGAGCAAACGGG